GAGUUUGAUCGUGGCUCAGAUUGAACGCUGGCGGCAUGCCUUACACAUGCAAGUCGAACGGCAGCAUGAUCUAGCUUGCUAGAUUGAUGGCGAGUGGCGAACGGGUGAGUAAUACAUCGGAACGUGCCCUGUAGUGGGGAGUAACUAGUCGAAGAUUAGCUAAUACCGCAUACGACCUGAGGGUGAAAGUGGGGGACCGGCAAGGCCUCAUGCUAUAGGAGCGGCCGAUGUCUGAUUAGCUAGUUGGUGGGGU
RNAcentral lists this ribosomal RNA (253 nucleotides) under uncultured microorganism. RNAcentral's name for it is "partial 16S ribosomal RNA". It matches the Rfam family "Bacterial small subunit ribosomal RNA", at positions 9 to 258 of the family's 1533-position model. The record is from RNAcentral.